ACAAUGGAGAGUUUGAUCCUGGCUCAGGAUGAACGCUAGCGGCAGGCCUAAUACAUGCAAGUCGAACGAUAGUUGGGGCUUGCCCCAACGAAAAGUGGCGCACGGGUGCGUAACGCGUAUGCAACCUACCUUCAUCUGGGGGAUAGCCCGGAGAAAUCCGGAUUAAUACCGCAUAAAAUCACAGRAYGGCAUURUYCAAUGAUCAAACAUUUAUGGGAUGGAGAUGGGCAUGCGUGUCAUUAGCUAGUUGGCGGGGUAACGGCCCACCAAGGCGACGAUGACUAGGGGAUCUGAGAGGAUGGCCCCCCACACUGGUACUGAGACACGGACCAGACUCCUACGGGAGGCAGCAGUAAGGAAUAUUGGUCAAUGGGGGCAACCCUGAACCAGCCAUGCCGCGUGCAGGAAGACAGCCCUAUGGGUCGUAAACUGCUUUUACCCGGGAAUAAACCCCACUACGUGUAGUGGGCUGAACGUACCGGGGGAAUAAGGAUC
This 495-nucleotide ribosomal RNA is filed under the name Pedobacter frigidisoli. RNAcentral describes it as "bacterial SSU rRNA". It matches the Rfam family "Bacterial small subunit ribosomal RNA", at positions 1 to 494 of the family's 1533-position model. The record is from RNAcentral. Lineage: Bacteria; Pseudomonadati; Bacteroidota; Sphingobacteriia; Sphingobacteriales; Sphingobacteriaceae.